AUUGAACGCUGGCGGCAGGCCUAACACAUGCAAGUCGAGCGGGAGGCGGACGGGUGGGUCAUGUAUGGGAAUCUGCCUGAUGGAGGAGGAUAACUACUGGAACCGGUAGCUAAUACCGCAUACCAUCAGUUCGACCGAGAUGGGAUGAGCUGGUAGGUGUGGUAACGGCUCACCUAGGCGACGAUCCCUAGCUGGGCUGAGAGGAUGAUCAGCAACACUGGGACUGAGACACGGCCCAGACUCCUACGGGAGGCAGCAGUGGGGAAUAUUGCACAAUGGGCGCAAGCCUGAUGCAGCCAUGCCGCGUGUAUGAAGAAGGUCUUCGGGUUGUAAAGUACUUUCAGUAGGGAGGCGGUACCGACAGAGGAAGCACCGGCUAACUACGUGCCAGCAGCCGCGGUAAUAC
This 406-nucleotide ribosomal RNA is filed under the name uncultured bacterium. RNAcentral's name for it is "partial 16S ribosomal RNA". It matches the Rfam family "Bacterial small subunit ribosomal RNA", at positions 30 to 526 of the family's 1533-position model. The record is from RNAcentral.